UCCAAGCUGUGUUCACACGGCGAGACCGCGGACGGCUCAUUAAAUCAGUCGUGGUCCAAAUGGGCCAGUGCAAAUCCUACUUGGAUAACUGUGGUAAUUCCAGAGCUAAUACAUGCAACUGAUAUCCCGAAGGCGGUGUCGGGGCUUGCUUGUCUUGCCCUGCCUGCUCUGACGGAUGCUUUUAUUAGACCAAGCCGCUGAGGACUUGAGGGUUCGCGCUCUCUUGUUUGACUCGUGUGAUGGUGACUCUGGAUAACCAAAUUCUGACAAGCGCACGUACUUCUCUUCUGAGCGAGACGGCGCUGCCACUUUCGAGUGUCUGCCUUAUCAGCUAUCAACCGUUCGUUAUGCGCGACCGAUGGCUUUGACGGGUAACGGGGAAUCAGGGUUCGAUUCCGGAGAGGCAGCCUGAGAGACGGCUACCACGUCCAAGGACGGCAGCAGGCACGCAAAUUACCCAAUCCCAGCAAAUGGGGGAGGUAGUGACGAAAUCUAACGAUGCGGGCGCCCUUUCUGGGGCCCCGCAAUCGGAAUGGGCACUUUCUAAACAACCUG
RNAcentral lists this ribosomal RNA (555 nucleotides) under Eulimnogammarus verrucosus. RNAcentral's name for it is "SSU rRNA". It matches the Rfam family "Eukaryotic small subunit ribosomal RNA", at positions 64 to 536 of the family's 1831-position model. The record is from RNAcentral. Lineage: Eukaryota; Metazoa; Arthropoda; Malacostraca; Amphipoda; Eulimnogammaridae.